GCACCAAUGGGGUAGUGGUAACCUGGGUCGUUGCCAUUGCGAGAAUAUCGACCCGCCUGGGGUUUGAUUCCCUCUUGAUGCA
Non-coding RNA from Marasmius tenuissimus, 82 nucleotides. NCBI's taxonomy places the organism in Eukaryota, Fungi, Basidiomycota, Agaricomycetes, Agaricales, Marasmiaceae. The record is from the annotation of a GenBank genome assembly.